Molecule: unclassified non-coding RNA, 344 nt
Filed under: soil metagenome
Description: partial contains 5.8S ribosomal RNA, internal transcribed spacer 2, and large subunit ribosomal RNA
Rfam family: 5.8S ribosomal RNA (bases 1-120)
Source: RNAcentral
GAUGAAGAACGUAGCGAAAUGCGAUAAGUAAUGUGAAUUGCAGAAUUCAGUGAAUCAUCGAAUCUUUGAACGCACAUUGCGCCCGCCAGUAUUCUGGCGGGCAUGCCUGUUCGAGCGUCAUUUCAACCCUCAAGCCCCCGGGCUUGGUGUUGGGGAUCGGCGUGCCCUCGCGGCGCGCCGUCCCCUAAAUCUAGUGGCGGUCUCGCUGUAGCUUCCUCUGCGUAGUAGCAACACUCGCACUGGAUCGCAGCGCGGCCACGCCGUUAAACCCCCCACUUCUGAAAGUUUGACCUCGGAUCAGGUAGGAAUACCGGCUGAACUUAAGCAUAUCAAUAAGCGGAGGA